AUGAAAUGGUUAAGAUGUAAUCGGAGAUGUUCAGAGUGGUUUGGUGUGAAAUGCUGUUCUAGAGUCCCUCUACUUACCGAGUCGGAACUGUUCACAGUGGUGGUGAUAGGAACCAGACGUCUACCUCUAAAAGCAGACAGUCACCUCCAGAGUUAUUUUUAUAAAAUGGUUAGAUAUACAAUUUUCCACUAUCUUACCAUCUUCCACAGUCCAUAUAAGCUCAGAACCUCCAGAGAACAUUACUGUGUUUUAAAAACAUACUUUAGCUCAAAAUGUUCUCAAAACGUUCUCAAAAACUCUUACUUUGCUCUGCUUUAAUCUUCAGCUCCACUACAGCUGCUUUUCUCACAUCUCGGGCAGGAAACGUUCCUCAGGAGUAGAUCAGUUUCUGUGAAAUGUCUCUCAGCGUUCGACUUUUUACGAGGCUGAAGUCGCUUCUCAUUCACCAGCUUCUUGUUCAAAUUUCCCCGUUCCACCUUAAAUGGUGCCAGAAUGUAACUGCUGCACCUUUUAAGGUGGAACGGGGAAAUUUGAACAAGAGCCUGUCGAAUGAGAAACUGACCUCAGCUUCACGACUUUUUACUGUUUCAGUUUCUCACUGCAGAUUAAACGUAUCAGGAAACCAGCUGGAGUGACUAUAAACACUAAUAAGUCCAUUCGUCUCCAGAUUAUCGAUGUCCGUCUUAAAUCUCUCUCUUUACCGUUUCAUAGCUACUAGCAGGGCGAGACUGUCGUCUGCGUUGCUAUGGUGACCAGCCGUCUGCGCUGAUCUUCAGGGUUAAAGGGUGAAUCAGCAGUUCUACAUUAACUCCAGCGUUUAAGACCAUUUACUGUUAAACUGUGUUGAAGGAUCAGCAGAGCUUUAUUUUACUGUAGAGGAGGAUUAUUUUAUUAUUACCUACUGAUCUGAUUCAGCUGUGGAGCCACGACAGGGCAGUAGAAGAGCUGCAUGUUUCUGACCCCUGAGCUAGAACAAAGCAUUUCACAUCAAACCACUCUGAACGACUUUGCUUACAUAUUAAUCAUUUAAUUAUGCAGAAAUGUAAAAUCCGGUGGAAUUCCCUGUCAGUAGAGAGUGUGCUGAUGCUCAUAAUUAUCACCAAAGUGUUCUUACUUUAGUGUGCUGGUUACUGGCAGAGCGCAAAGCAGCAUUUUGUAUUGCUGGACAGGAUCAUGUCAAUAACAUCACCACUCACAUGAACACAUUCACACACUGGGUGCUGCACACUGCACCCACAGUGGCAUCAUAGGGAAGCGGAAUCAGAGGAAAAGAGUCCAAAGAGGUGCUGAACGCCGUUAGAACAAGCUUGAAUGAUAAAUGGUUAGAUCAUAGUUUGGUCCAGAACUGACCACUGGAGAUUUCUGAACUGUUAACACCAAAGUUUACUAUGCAGUUUUAAAAUGUCUUGAAGCUGAACCGUAUCUGUCGACUGUGGACCACGUAACCCAUUCCUUUCCUUCACGUUUUCACUCUUUAUUCAUGUUUUCAAAGCAGGCGUGUGCAGUUUACAUCACCGUCUGUGCUUUCUUAGCCUCUGUCAUCACGGCCAUCAUAAUGUAUGGAGAUGGGUGUGACCCGUCGGGGCGGCGGAGCUCGGUCUGUAAUGCAUAAAUCACCUCUUGCACGUUUUUUCACAGUUUCAUUUCCAUCUGUUUCUUCAGUGCUCAUUGGUCUCAUUGAGAGUGGGCGAAGCAGCCAUUCACAAUCGUACACAAGCGGAGGAUAAUCGUGCUGUUGUUUUUUUAUGUAUAAUAUUUGGACAUGAAUGUGUAAUUGUAUAAAUGUGCUUCAUAAUAAAUGUAUGUAUAAAAUCUUCAAGUACUUUUUCCGUUGAAAUGGUGUUGACUGUAUUGCCGCAGGAGUAAAUAAAUA
Pygocentrus nattereri (red-bellied piranha) is the source of this 1873-nucleotide long non-coding RNA. NCBI's taxonomy places the organism in Eukaryota, Metazoa, Chordata, Actinopteri, Characiformes, Serrasalmidae. The record is from Ensembl.